CGGAUUGGAGUCUGCAACCCGACUCCAUGAAGCUGGAUUCGCUAGUAAUCGCGCAUCAGCCACGGCGCGGUGAAUACGUUCCCGGGCCUUGUACACACCGCCCGUCAAGCCAUGGAAGCCGGGGGUGCCUGAAGUGCGCUGCCGCAAGGAGCGCCCUAGGGUAAAACCGGUGACUGGGGCUAAGUCGUAACAAGGUACC
This 199-nucleotide ribosomal RNA is filed under the name uncultured bacterium. RNAcentral describes it as "partial 16S ribosomal RNA". It matches the Rfam family "Bacterial small subunit ribosomal RNA", at positions 1294 to 1500 of the family's 1533-position model. The record is from RNAcentral.